Molecule: ribosomal RNA, 352 nt
Filed under: uncultured bacterium
Lineage: Bacteria
Description: partial 16S ribosomal RNA
Rfam family: Bacterial small subunit ribosomal RNA
Source: RNAcentral
CCUACGGGUGGCAGCAGUGGGGAAUAUUGCGCAAUGGGCGAAAGCCUGACGCAGCGACGCCGCGUGAGGGAUGAAGGUCUUCGGAGCGUAAACCUCUGUCAGCAGGGAAGAACGGUCACGGGGCUAAUCAGCAGUGAAUUGACGGUACCGGCAAAGGAAGCACCGGCUAACUCCGUGCCAGCAGCCGCGGCAAUACGGAGGGGGCGAGCGUUAAUCGGAAUUACGGGGCGGAAAGCGCUCGUAGGCGGUAUGUCAAGUCAAGGGUGAAAUCCCCGCGCCCAACGUGGGAACUGCCUUUGAAACUGGCAACCUGGAGUGUGUGAGAGGCUAGUGGAAUUCCAGGUGUAGGCGU